CAUAUGCUUCUUCCCUGUCCUGUGUGCCUCCAUUGAUUUCUCAGACAAAGCCCCUACUUUGCAUGUUGCACCUUUUUCCAAGCCAUCAGCAUGGUGUUGCAAAGAUGGUGUGACAUUGUCCUUUGUACCUUCUUUCUCCAAAAUCUCUAGAGAUGUUCCCUCCACCAAUUUAUUACCAUGCAAGAAUUCAACUUUCGGUUUUAUGUUGAGAUUGUCAUCAACCGGGGGAGGGGUAGUAUUU
This 241-nucleotide long non-coding RNA is filed under the name Nicotiana benthamiana. RNAcentral's name for it is "long non-coding RNA (NBEN_LNC012888)". The record is from RNAcentral. Lineage: Eukaryota; Viridiplantae; Streptophyta; Magnoliopsida; Solanales; Solanaceae.